GCAGUGGUGGUUCGGUGGCAGAAUCCUCACCUUCCGUGUAGGAGGCCUGGGUUCGAUUCCCAGCCAAUGCA
Molecule: transfer RNA, 71 nt
Filed under: Loxodonta africana (African savanna elephant)
Lineage: Eukaryota; Metazoa; Chordata; Mammalia; Proboscidea; Elephantidae
Rfam family: tRNA
About the family: Transfer RNA (tRNA) molecules are approximately 80 nucleotides in length. Their secondary structure includes four short double-helical elements and three loops (D, anti-codon, and T loops).
Source: Rfam by way of RNAcentral